GGCGGGGCUUCGGAGAUGACUGGCUUCAAAAUUGCUUCAGCAUUUUGGCGCCAAAUGAUCGCUAUUCAUACUUAAGCCAAUUGCUGCUGCUUCUUGGCUGGUGUGAAUCUGUGUGAUUCCUAGACAUCGGCUUGCCCCAGGAUGCUGUACUGGCCCUUCCUUCUCUUUGUAUCCGUACUCCACCAGAUAUUUCUCUAACUUGUUGGGUUUGGCCAGCAAACCCUGAGACGGCGAAUGAAAAGAUUACCCCAGACACCUCAGUAGGAGAAAGGAGAGACCUGAGGACCAGACACUCUAGCAGCGAACGGCCUCGAACCAAGCCUUGUCUCCAGUGUUACUGGGGUCUUCUCAGUACACCAGGCGCAAGCGCACAACAAGGAGGCAAGGAGUCCAUGAGGUACGUGACCGCCCCAGGUGCCUGUUUGUCUUCAAAACUGGAACAUUGACUUGCUAGACGAGAACCUUGAGCCUCAGUAAGAA
Molecule: long non-coding RNA, 480 nt
Organism: Ailuropoda melanoleuca (giant panda)
Lineage: Eukaryota; Metazoa; Chordata; Mammalia; Carnivora; Ursidae
Exons: 3
Source: RefSeq, a predicted model, not a curated record